RNA transcript from Raphanus sativus (radish), 1156 nucleotides. It is a transcript of the gene named YTH domain-containing protein ECT3, with no coding region annotated. NCBI's taxonomy places the organism in Eukaryota, Viridiplantae, Streptophyta, Magnoliopsida, Brassicales, Brassicaceae. The record is from RefSeq and is a predicted model, not a curated record. The transcript has 4 exons.
CAACGGCGUCUCACACCAAAUCCUUAGCUCGUUAACAUAUGUUAACACGUGUGGGAAAUAUUAAAAAAAGAAGGAAUGGUAAGGAUCAAUCCUUAAAUAAGGGGUUUACGGAUCGAGUCCGUAUCGACGUGGCAUCUAGUCAUUGGGCCGAGCAACGUAACGAAUCCGUACCCCUUCGACUUCGCAGUCACCUUGUCGAGGAUCAAUAAUCUCCGAUUUCAUCCUUCCGCCGAAGUCCCGCCGCAUCACCAGCGAGUUUAUCUGGCCGGAUCCAAAAAAUUCGAAGAAGAAGUCGAAGAAGCGAUCCAGUUUCUUCGAUCUGGACGAAGAAUUCGAGGCUGAUUUCAAAGGGUUCAAGGAUGAUGAUUAUUCUUCUUUUGACUGCGAAGAUGUAACCUUCGCGGAUGUGAAGAAGCCCUUUUUCUUCACUGCACCUACCAAACUCGUAGCUUCCCGUCCAACCACCUUUGCCACCACUGCUAUGGUUCAUGAGAAGAAUCUUUUGUAGCUUGAAUCCAUAAAAAAUCAGUCAAAGAUGAAACCCAAUUCUUCUGUUCUCUGUAAACGCUAGCUCUCAGUUCUGUGGAGUAGCGGAGAUGAUAGGACCUGUGGAUUUUGAGAAGAGCGUUGAUUACUGGCAACAAGACAAAUGGAACGGACAGUUCCCGGUGAAGUGGCACACCAUCAAAGACGUUCCAAACAGUCAGUUCCGCCACAUUAUAUUGGAGAACAAUGACAAUAAGCCUGUGACGAACACUCGAGACACUCAAGAAGUGAAACUAGAAGGCAUUGAGAUGCUGAAGAUUUUCAAGAACUACGAUGCUGAGACUUCAAUCUUGGAUGAUUUUGGGUUUUAUGAAGAGAGGGAGAAGAUAAUUCAAGAACGGAAGGCAAGAAGGCAGCCAAGCUUGCCAUCUACAGGAGAGUAGGAGAAAACGAACAUAAACCCGCUGCUGCUGCUGCAUUGCAGACAGACUUUAUCAAGAACAUGUCUAAAAGUUUUGCUCAAGUCGUCCGCUUGGAGGAGGGAAGUUUUACACUGUGUUAUAAAUUUCAUGGUAUUCAGUUUCCAGCUUCAUAGAUUUCACUGUUGUUAUGUUUUAGGAUUUUGUAUCAAUCGCUGAAAAUUGUUGGGUUUUGUGGUUUUGUUACAAAA